This is a small nuclear RNA of Oncorhynchus tshawytscha (Chinook salmon), 146 nucleotides long. Its record names the gene U2. It matches the Rfam family "U2 spliceosomal RNA". Rfam says of the family: U2 is a small nuclear RNA (snRNA) component of the spliceosome (involved in pre-mRNA splicing). The record is from Ensembl. NCBI's taxonomy places the organism in Eukaryota, Metazoa, Chordata, Actinopteri, Salmoniformes, Salmonidae.
GCCGCUUCUCAGCCUUUUGGCUCAGAUCAAGUGUAGUAUCUGUUCUUAUCCAAGCAUUUCGCUACACUCGCAUUAACAUCUGCUAACCAUGUGUAUGUGACAAAUAAAAUUUGAUUUGAUUUGUUCCAAACAGGCAGAAAAAUUAU